GCGGGGGUGGGAGCCGGGCGCGGAGCGGUGCGGGACGGCGCGGGGCGGUGCGGGGCUGCGCGGUGGCGGCGAGCCCGCGUCUGCAGCCCGGGCGCCGCGCGAGGCUCCGCGCCUUUUCUAGAGGCGCGCUGACAUCACGUCCUGCCCCGCCGCCAUUGGCUGCCGCCGCGCCCCGCGCCCGCCGGCAUGUGCUCGGCCGCGGCCCCGCCACCGCCGCCGCCCCCCGGCCCCGCACGGCCCCGGCACGCGGGGACGGCCCCGGGCCGAGCCGCCCGCCCAGCAGCGCGGGGCUCGGCCCCUGAGCCCCAGCCCGCCGGGGGCCGCUCGGAGCCCCGCGGGGUGUCCCCUGCCUGCCGGCGCUGCGGGGCCCCGCAGGACGAGGAGCCCCGUGAAGCACGGCCCCGAGCCACCGGGCCCGGCACCGGGACCCAGGAGUCACGCCUGGACCCUCCCGCUCCGGGUCAGCGAACUUGAGCCGCGUGUUGCUGGAGCUGUGCGGUACCGACCCCCCGAGGUGACAGGUGAACAAAUCACAGGUCUUGAGUUUCUCUACCCUGCCUCUCUUGGUAACGUCAUCUCCAGUACCAUCUGCUACCUACCAGACAAACAGACCAACCACAUAAUGAGGUACCAGCUUCCACCCAGCUACCGUGACUAAAUCAGAACAAAAGCUUCAACGCCUCCUUCAACAAAGGAACACAAGUCUAAGCUGUCUUUGCUAAUUGCUGGGUUUCAGGUUGUCUGUUACAGAUUUUAAGUGAGCUACAAACUUCCAUCAGAUACUUAGAGCUGUUGGAUAAAGGUACUAAGAAUAAAAGAUAAAUGGAAGCAAAAGGCAAUGAUGUUGUUCUCCUAAAAUGUGAGACAGUUUGCUUCUUGUCAGCAAGUGGAGCUCAGCUCAGCUCUUCAUCUCCCUGAGCUGCUGGAGACAGACUAGCAUGCUUCAGAUUUACUCGCUCGAUAGACUGACUCGAAAUGAUUCUGGGAAAUGAUUGCUCCAUUCAUAUAUCACUUUUUGCGCUUCUUAUAUACCAAGUGAGACACUUUGGGUGAUUUUAAAGUGAAAGAAAAUAAUAAAAUAAGCUUAUUAAGAAACACCAUUCAGUUUAAAAAUAGGACAUUUCUUGUCACAGAUGCUGUCCCCAAACUGGAAAUGAGCGUAUUUAUAAAUAUGUUUUUAGUAUUCCAGGGUAAGAAAUGUUUAAUAUCUGUUUCUUUUUCUAAAUAAUUGCUAUCCUUACCCAGUAAGUGCAAAAAUGGUGCGUGAGUCACAGGAAAUUUAAGUGGUUUGUCUUGGGAAAAUUUGGUGGUAUGCAUUUUUUUGACGCACAUAGAGCUGUUGAAUGAAUAAUUGGCAACCUAUUUAAUGUCCUUUGCUUUAAAGCUGUCGAGUACAUUUGCUGUUUAAAAAAUGUCUUUCAAAGCUGUUAAAUAUGUAACAAAAAGGGGUUGCUAUCACCAUUCUGACAUGAACAAAGCCAUACAGUGAGCUGCCCGAGGUACCUCCAGCAUGGUAUUAAUUACAAACGCAAUAAAAAAAGAAAAUUCGCAAAGUUCUCAAAUUCCGUUUCUUUGCAGUAUCAGCUGAUGAAUGUUUUAUAAAAACAUACAGUAAAAAUCUCAGUCCAGGAAUUAGCCGUUAAUUAUUACCUAAGCCAAGCACUUGGGGGAGAGCAGGGAAUCUGUUGGAUCUGUAAUUUCACCAGUUAGCCCUGGCGAGUAAGAUCUCUAGCUGUCUCAGAAGCAAACCGAGCUUAAAACAGUAACACACUUUCAAGAAGAUGAUCGGCUAAGAAUGUGCUUUAUUUUGAUUUGAAAAACUGUCAAUCAUAGCUAAAAAAGAGCAAAUAAUGCUUUUAUACAAUACGAGCUAAUUGUAUUUGUCUGAUAAACCAAGAAUAUGCAGGAAAAAUAAAUAAUAAAAUGUAAAAUGAAAAUAUUCAGAAUGUUUUGCCCAGAUGUUGUGUAGAGAUUGUUUGUCGCUGGUACAAGCAGUAGAUUUCAGAAAAAUAUGCAAGCAUGUAUCUAUACGUGUGAGAGAGAAAUAAGAUACCCAUAAUCUUACAUAUUUCAGUUUAUAUAGCCACAGCUAUUUAAACAAUUCCAAAACUGCCUCUACGGGUGUUAGAGAGGGAGGGAAAUCUUCAGCCACAUGAUCUUCUCUCCAGAGUCCUGUUAAAUCCACUGAACUUAAAACAGAACAAGAAGUGUGAAAUAUGGGUUUGAACAUGUUAUGUCAGAAAUGUAAAGGUUGGAAGCCUUUUUAGUAACUGAUAUUAAUAUUGUAUUAAAUGUUAUGAAAAGGUAGGUGUUGGAGAGAAGGGCUGGGCUCAUGUGCAAUUUUGUCAAGGUUUUUAUCUGUGAUUAUGAUUCCAGAUGUAUCUAUUCCCUGAGGAGAAAAAUGAAGUAAAGUUGGCAUGUGACAUGUGUUUUAAGGUGUUUGGCACAGUUUCCCAAAGUGAUGACAAAAUGUUCAUUUUUAUUACUGUGAAUUGGUAAAGAAAAUAUGAUUCUGAAGGUCAGUGGCUGUGUAUUCAAGAUAGCUGUGGAGAGUUAUUUUGGGGAAUACGGAUUUUUGGUGGUGUGUUUAGAUUUAAUUGCCUGACUCGAGCUUUUCCCAUAGUAAAUAAUAAUUUAAAUAGCAUAUUUUUUUACAAAAUAUGAUUUUUUGAUUACUGCUAAUCCAAUAAAAUUCAUGUACAGAAUAUGGUAAA
Long non-coding RNA from Anas platyrhynchos (mallard), 2714 nucleotides. RefSeq lists it as uncharacterized. The record is from RefSeq and is a predicted model, not a curated record. NCBI's taxonomy places the organism in Eukaryota, Metazoa, Chordata, Aves, Anseriformes, Anatidae.